UCACAUUACCUUACUAAGUGACAUAGCAAGAAUGACCUCGAACCUUCAGAGUAGGGCUCCAAAUUAAGUGUUUAUGACUUAUUACUCUCCUAGAAGAAAGGUCCAUCACAGUUUGGAGGAUGCUGAUGAUGAAGAAAAGGAAUGAAAGGACCCUCUACAGAUAUCUGCUUCCAAGGCACAAUUUGAAACUUGAAAGUCAAUGUCAGCUUCUCUGAGACAAAUGGUAUCAUCAUCACGUAACUACCUUUACAAAAGCAGGCGUCAGGUGCUGCUGACACUUGGACUAAGUAAGGGAUGGACUUUUUAAACAAACUCCUCCUGCACCAGAGAAAAUCCUGGGCAGCCUAAAGAAGCAAAGCCCACAGGCAAAACGAUACAUGACACCUGAGGACAAGCUAAGAAAAUGGAAAGCAUAGCCAUCUCCUUAGCAAGGUGCUCCAGAAGUCUUUGCUCAGCAGACUGUUAAGGAUGUGUAGAGAGUUAGAAAAUUCAAGAGGAGGCCUAUGCUGAGCCCUGUAAUGGAAAAUGUCCAAACUGCCUGUAAUUCAUGUUCAAGCGCUGGACUUCCGUGGUUAGAUUAAAGAUAAACCAGCCAGGACCUUUCAACGGGUGAUAAAGAUCACAGGCUGCUUGUAACUGAUCAAAAGGCUAAAGGCGAACCCACAGCAGGGGUAUUAAAAUGGCCCCAAAGGUAAAGAGUAAACGGAGGACAGUAAAAAAAAAAAAAAAAAAAAAAAUUAACUAUCCCUUCCUGGCUCAAAGCUAACAAAACUAAAAGGCAAACUGGCAGCAUCAGACACAGCCACGGUAGUUACUGUUCCAUCCCGAGUCCUGGGCCACACAGAGGAAUUCUUAGAAUGCUAAACCAAGUAAUCUGAAGAUACAUAUUUUCUCCAUGGUGAGCCUCAAAGGCUCAGGGGUACACACUCACCUAGUACCCACGAAACCCUAACGGGAACAGCUUUGUGCCACUUUCAGUGACAACUACAAGGAACCAAGGCUCUGGGCACCCCAGGCUUUCUCUUGUCUCUCCAAACUUUAUCUUUUUUUGUUUUUGUUUUUGUUUAAACUCUAGUAAAUGUGCAAUUCUG
RNAcentral lists this long non-coding RNA (1091 nucleotides) under Mus musculus (house mouse). Its description in RNAcentral is "long non-coding RNA chr7:6156515-6157606". Lineage: Eukaryota; Metazoa; Chordata; Mammalia; Rodentia; Muridae. The record is from RNAcentral.